RNAcentral lists this long non-coding RNA (981 nucleotides) under Sinocyclocheilus grahami. RNAcentral describes it as "lncRNA (ENSSGRG00000048481.1)". The record is from RNAcentral. Lineage: Eukaryota; Metazoa; Chordata; Actinopteri; Cypriniformes; Cyprinidae.
GAGGCACUGAGAAGUGUUCCGUCCACAACACAGCGCCUCCCGGUGGAGAACUCGGUAAACGACCAGAAAGGAUCACUUCAUCUGGAUAUUUUAAGCUUCUGUUUUAAAUUGAAAUAAGGGACACGAAGGAGAAAGGUUAAAGUUGAUUUUAUCUACGACAAAUGUAGAUAAAUGUUCAAACAGAGUAAAAACCGUUGGGCGCCAAGAGGUUCGCGCGUUUCUUGAGGUGAGGUGAAGCGUUCAAAAAGAUACUAACGAAAACUAAAAACCAUGAGGCGUUACACUGAGUUUACAACGGUAAGAGUAUCUGAAACCUCUUUAAACCUUAGUAAGCAAAACUACCCUCUUUUUAGUAGGCUAUAUGUGUGUUUUGCCCGUACUUUUAUAAUCUCCCCCUGUGUUCCUCUACGCGUCCUUUAAAAAAAGACUCUGGAAAAAAUGGAACAUCAGAGAUAAAGUGUGUGUGUAUAUAUAUAUAUAUAAAACAGCCUUCAGAAUUAUUCUUUGGGAAAUUUGGAAAAAGUUGAAAUUGCAGUGUCGCCCAUCCACCACAAGAGAGAAGUAUACAUCUGACCAAACAGCAGGGGACACAAAGCUGGCCAGCUCACGGACGUUCAACUGUUUCAGGGCAGCCCAGAGCCAAGGACACCUUGCCAUGGCAAAAAAAAACUAAUGGAGAGACAACUGUCCCUGAGGUCAGAACAGGUGCUGCGGGAGAGGCCAGAGUCCGCCGGGACAGCUGUACUAUUCCUGUCCAGAACAGAGCCGGCUGACUGCGGAUCCACAGAGACUAAUGACAGAUGGACAGAUUUAUUCACUCCGAUGAGCAAUUUCCACACACACAGACUCGUGGAAAAUCAUGCAGCUGCAACACCCCGCGCCAAUUAACAUGACUGCGACCUCACACAUCCGGGUCAGUGCAUCCGAGCAGGGGAACAAAGGCAGAGCUGGUCCCAGAAUGUGAGUUCCCAAUUACCCUUG